AGAAAUGCUAUUGGGACACAAAACCCAAACAAAAAUACAACAAAUGAGGGGUAUAAUGGUCAAUUGCUGAUAAGUAUACUUUUGGUUUUUUUAUUUUUAUUUUUUUAUUAUACUGUCCUCCAUCCAUUGUCCUCUGCUUCACUCACUCUCUCUCUCUCUCUCUCUCUUCUUUGAAUCCAAAGAGUUUCCAAUGCUUUGAACAGAUUGGUGGCU
RNAcentral lists this long non-coding RNA (213 nucleotides) under Trifolium pratense (red clover). Its description in RNAcentral is "long non-coding RNA (TPRA_LNC011860)". The record is from RNAcentral. Lineage: Eukaryota; Viridiplantae; Streptophyta; Magnoliopsida; Fabales; Fabaceae.